This is a non-coding RNA of Gorilla gorilla gorilla (western lowland gorilla), 148 nucleotides long. It matches the Rfam family "Metazoan signal recognition particle RNA". Rfam says of the family: The signal recognition particle (SRP) is a universally conserved ribonucleoprotein. It is involved in the co-translational targeting of proteins to membranes. NCBI's taxonomy places the organism in Eukaryota, Metazoa, Chordata, Mammalia, Primates, Hominidae. The record is from Rfam.
GCCAGGCAUGGUAGCACGUGCCUGUAGUCCCAGCUACUUGGGAGGCUGAGACAGGAGAAUCACUUGAACCCAGGAGGCGGGGGUUGCAGUGAGCCGAGAUCUCACCACUGCAUUCCAGCCUGGGUGACAGAGUGAGACUCUGUCUCAA